UAGUAGCCUUCAACCCGUGGCUCUAGACAUCCUGCACCCUCUUCAGAUCAACAAGUCUAUAUUGAUUUGCACUUUGCGACCAUCCUUGUGUUGUCUUAACAGCUCACAUUUAUCUAGUGAGAUUGAUAUUUGUUUUGUUUUUUAGAUCCUCACAACAAAUUUUCAUGGAAGGAAAACUUAAGAACAAGAUCUUCCCUGCCUUUGAGAUUUUCCUGCAGCAAUUCCAGGUGCUGUGAGGAAGGAAAAUAACAAAGAAAAAAAAGCCUGUCCUCAGGGAGAAGGCAAGAUGCACAGGAAAUAAUUAGUGAUUAAUUUAGGUAUGGAAUUUAUACACCAAAAAUAAACUGGUUCAGAUCAUCUGCGUU
Molecule: long non-coding RNA, 365 nt
Filed under: Monodelphis domestica (gray short-tailed opossum)
Lineage: Eukaryota; Metazoa; Chordata; Mammalia; Didelphimorphia; Didelphidae
Description: lncRNA (ENSMODG00000049346.1)
Source: RNAcentral